Gasterosteus aculeatus aculeatus (three-spined stickleback) is the source of this 692-nucleotide long non-coding RNA. Lineage: Eukaryota; Metazoa; Chordata; Actinopteri; Perciformes; Gasterosteidae. The record is from Ensembl.
GGGCGCGUGCCUGCGCCUCCCACAGAAGACGUGUGCGUGUGUGGGGGGGCAGAGAGAUAGAGGACUCCUGGCAGAGCACAAAACCCACUCCCCGUGAAGCUGCGAGAAGGAAAAGCUCCGUUGUGUGUGUGUGAGUGAGUGUGUGUGAGUUUUUAAAUGUCAGAAAGCCCACGCACCGCCUCCACUGCUCGCGGGACUCUCCCAGGAUGCUGGACCCUCACGCCGGGCACAGAGUGGCAGGCUGCUUGAUUCUGCUCUCCCUCCUCCACAUCAACUUGUCUGCUGGCAGCUCAGGAAAAGGCUCACAGAGCCACGAUGAUAUGCAUGUCAUCCACAACAAUCAACUGGACUACGAAGAAGAAGAUAAAAUUACGUCUUGCAUGCGACGGCUCGGUGGAGCGGCGGUCGCAGCAAUGAAAUGCUUGAAAAAAUCAACAUGUUAUGAGUCUGUUUCAGAUCACGCCCUGUGUUCCAACUUACUGCUCCGCCACACAAAAUGAAGAAAUGCAUUUGGAUUGAAGUAGCUGUAAAAAAAGAAAAAAGAAAAAAGGAAAAGGUCUAGUUUCAUCCUGAUUCAGACGCUUUGAUGUAUUGUCUGUCAAGCUCCGCUCUUUCUGUAAGUAGAUGUGAGGCAAUAAUGUGCUCAUCUAGAGGAGGUUGUUUUGACUGAAAUCCAGUUAGCUUUUCACCCG